Molecule: long non-coding RNA, 392 nt
Organism: Pantherophis guttatus
Lineage: Eukaryota; Metazoa; Chordata; Lepidosauria; Squamata; Colubridae
Source: RefSeq, a predicted model, not a curated record
CAUUGAAGUACGGCAAUUAUGGCCAGUGGAGAGAAAACCAGGAUGCUUGAAUUUCUUCAUGACACAAUGACUAUGAUAUAUUUGACCUGCAAUAAGCAAUUCUAUAACUGCUCAUUUUGAACAAAGUUUCAUUUUUAGCAGAUUGCGAUGGCAGCUUCUAUAUUUAAAAAAGGCUUUUGUCUCUUACAACCUGAAGAAGCAAUUACAAUGAAUAUUCUACGAUUGUGUGGUUUUGUGUGGUUUUUGCAGCUGAACAGCAAAUAGUGACUCUAGAUAUAAUGAUUCCACCACAGCCAUCAAGAGAAAAAACAAUACACUUUGAAAUCACGAACAGCCCUGUCUCUCAUGCCUACUUGUGGUGCUUUGAAGAUAAAUUAUUCAAGGAUUGAAAA